AAACCAACAGGGAUUGCCCCAGUAACGGCGAGUGAAGCGGCAACAGCUCAAAUUUGAAAUCUGGCCCCCUCCGCGGGGGUCCGAGUUGUAAUUUGCAGAGGAUGCUUCUGGCGCGGCGCCUUCCGAGUUCCCUGGAACGGGACGCCACAGAGGGUGAGAGCCCCGUCCGGUCGGACGCCCAGCCUAUGUGAAGCACCUUCGACGAGUCGGGUAGUUUGGGAAUGCUGCCCUAAAUGGGAGGUAUAUGUCUUCUAAAGCUAAAUACCGGCCAGAGACCGAUAGCGCACAAGUAGAGUGAUCGAAAGAUGAAAAGCACUUUGAAAAGAGGGUUAAACAGUACGUGAAAUUGUUGAAAGGGAAGCGCUCAUGACCAGACUUGGGCCCGGGGGAUCACCCGGCGUUCUUUCGCCGGGGCACUUCGCCGGCUGCCCAGGCCAGCAUCAGUUCGCGGCGGGGGACAAAGGCUUCGGGAACGUGGCUCCCUACGGGGAGUGUUAUAGCCCGCUGCGCAAUGCCCUGCCGCGGACUGAGGUUCGCGCUUCCGCAAGGAUGCUGGCGUAAUGGUCAUCAGCGAC
RNAcentral lists this ribosomal RNA (575 nucleotides) under Polycephalomyces ramosus. Its description in RNAcentral is "LSU rRNA". It matches the Rfam family "Eukaryotic large subunit ribosomal RNA", at positions 62 to 648 of the family's 3401-position model. The record is from RNAcentral. Lineage: Eukaryota; Fungi; Ascomycota; Sordariomycetes; Hypocreales; Polycephalomycetaceae.